This is a non-coding RNA of Brugia malayi, 116 nucleotides long. Lineage: Eukaryota; Metazoa; Nematoda; Chromadorea; Rhabditida; Onchocercidae. The record is from RefSeq and is a predicted model, not a curated record.
UACUUAUGGGCACGUUGUGCGUACGUCUUUCACCUGUUCAGCUAUCGGUUUGAAAUUUGUAUUUUUUGUCCGAGCUGCCCCUUGAAAGACUAAUGCCACCGAUGCCCUCUUCUCUC